UGGGGAAUAUUGCACAAUGGGCGAAAGCCUGAUGCAGCAACGCCGCGUGAGUGAUGAAGGUCUUCGGAUUGUAAAGCUCUGUCUUUUGGGACGAUAAUGACGGUACCAAAGGAGGAAGCCACGGCUAACUACGUGCCAGCAGCCGCGGUAAUACGUAGGUGGCGAGCGUUGUCCGGAUUUACUGGGCGUAAAGGGUGCGUAGGCGGAUGUUUAAGUGAGAUGUGAAAUACCCGGGCUUAACUUGGGUGCUGCAUUUCAAACUGGAUAUCUAGAGUGCAGGAGAGGAGAAUGGAAUUCCUAGUGUAGCGGUGAAAUGCGUAGAGAUUAGGAAGAACACCAGUGGCGAAGGCGAUUCUCGGACUGUAACUG
This 369-nucleotide ribosomal RNA is filed under the name uncultured bacterium. RNAcentral's name for it is "partial 16S ribosomal RNA". It matches the Rfam family "Bacterial small subunit ribosomal RNA", at positions 355 to 742 of the family's 1533-position model. The record is from RNAcentral.